UACGGAGGGUGCAAGCGUUAUCCGGAUUCACUGGGUUUAAAGGGUGCGUAGGUGGGCUGGUAAGUCAGUGGUGAAAUCUCCGGGCUUAACUCGGAAACUGCCAUUGAUACUAUCAGUCUUGAAUACCGUGGAGGUCAGUAGAAUAUGUCAUGUAGCGGUGAAAUGCUUAGAUAUGACAUAGAAUACCAAUUGCGAAGGCAGCUGGCUACACGAAUAUUGACACUCAGGCACGAAAGCGUGGGGAUCAAACAGG
This 253-nucleotide ribosomal RNA is filed under the name uncultured bacterium. RNAcentral describes it as "partial 16S ribosomal RNA". It matches the Rfam family "Bacterial small subunit ribosomal RNA", at positions 524 to 776 of the family's 1533-position model. The record is from RNAcentral.